This 398-nucleotide transfer-messenger RNA is filed under the name Flavobacteriaceae. RNAcentral describes it as "MS024-2A sp010031465 Standard tmRNA". It matches the Rfam family "transfer-messenger RNA". From Rfam's summary of the family: Bacterial tmRNA, also known as 10Sa RNA or SsrA, is named for its dual tRNA and mRNA-like properties. Its role is to liberate the mRNA from a stalled ribosome. To accomplish this part of the tmRNA is used as a reading frame that ends in a translation stop signal. The record is from RNAcentral. Lineage: Bacteria; Pseudomonadati; Bacteroidota; Flavobacteriia; Flavobacteriales. RNAcentral also lists the same sequence under 2 other names.
GGGGUCGACUGGUUUUGACAGCAGGACCCAUGAAAUAGUAAGCAAGUCGAGCGCUGAAUUACAGCUCGUAAAUCUCAUUUUUCAAAGCUUUAAAUGGCGAGAAUAACUACGCUCUAGCUGCAUAAUAACUGAAUUAUAGUAAGUUAAUGCCAAGUCUCGGCUAGGCCGAGAAGCUGGAUGUCUCUAAACAGCCCUUGUUGACGGCGGUUUGUAUUGAGGCACCAUAAAUGUCAACAUCGAAACACAUCUGCGUCGUAUGUGUUUUUCAAUAAAGAUGCUAAGGUAUUGAUGGGCAGAUUUCGGUCAGUCUAUAUUCGAAAAUCAAACGAAAUCUAAACUUGUAGAAAGCUAUUAAAUGGCUUGUUUGGACGCGGGUUCGAAUCCCGCCGACUCCACUU